Long non-coding RNA from Bufo bufo (common toad), 3858 nucleotides. RefSeq lists it as uncharacterized. The transcript is spliced from 2 exons. The record is from RefSeq and is a predicted model, not a curated record. NCBI's taxonomy places the organism in Eukaryota, Metazoa, Chordata, Amphibia, Anura, Bufonidae.
ACUAGAAUUUUCUAGGGGUGGAGUGGAGAAGCACAGCCUAAACAGAAACAUUGUUACAAUUGCUGUCUAUUAUAGAGAUUCAAUGCAAGUAUAUGGGAAUAAGCAGCUUUUCCAGACAUAAACAAGUUUUCAGACAGAAACAACAGAGCUAAACCAGACAGUCAGAAGGUCAGUCUGUCUGUUUUGUUCCCUCUAAAACUAUGCAUAUUUAGAAAAUUAUAAAGUCUCUCAGUAUUAGCUGGCUGUACAGUGCAAAUAUACUGUAGUUUAAUAACAGUGUAAAUUAAUAAGAUAUAUUACAAGAAACAUAUAAAUGCAGUUCGACAAUAUGAAACAGUAUAAGUGACCACAACAGCAUAAAUAACAAUGCAAUACAGUAGGGAGUUGAGGGCUUGAUGGUUGAUGCAUAGUAGCAAAAAUGGCUCCAGGGCUCUACAUAACAUGUUGCCAGCAGAUUGCACUGCAUUUCAUGGUAACAGGUUCUCUAAAAUGAGUAUAACACAGUAGCAGGCAGAUAGCUCUGUGCUCUGAUACAUUGUAACACAUUGCAGUUCUGUAAAUUAAGUAUUGGGUCAGAAUGUGUUUACUGCCUCUGAAUCUACAAGAAUGUUUCUAUUCAGUAACAGGAAGUACAAAAAGUAAUGCAGCCCUUCAUUAUACAAAUAUAUCAGCAUAUGAUAUAUUUGACAGUUUACAUGUAGAAUUAAUACACAUGCAUAAUCUUCUGAUAGAUACUGAUCCUGAGUACAGUUUGUAUUAUUAUAAUGAUUAUGCUGGUGGCUAUUAGAAACAGUCAACAAGCUCUGUUGUCAGACACACCAAGGACAACUUAGCUCCUACAAUGCAUCUAGACAGGUUGUUUGUCUUUCAUCAGAUUACUGCAUAGUGUCUGGUGAGAAAUUCUAAAGGCAAAUCUGCAGAUCUGACGGCAAAUCUGGGAAGACAUCAAGCCAAGGAAUGGAUCUAAAGAAUUCUAAAUGUGACUUACUGUGAAUGUAGAUUAAUUCUAUAGGUUAACUGUUAAAUGGUGUUAAUAAGUGGACUUACCCUUCAUUCUUUUUUACAUGGGACAGCUUCUUUACAGUAAAGUAGAAUAUGUUUUAUAUGGAUGUUUUGCCUAGAUCUAAUGGUCUGUUAAGGUUGUCUAUUAGAUCUAUGGGAGUCCAAUUGCUCUGGGACCCCCACUGUUUACGAGAAUAGGGGCCCAAUACCCCUAUUUGAAUAUAGCAGCUGGUUGAGCAUGUCCACUGCUUCUCCAUUGAUGUCUACAGGACUGCUGAAAAUAGACCAGCGGCUAUCUCCGACAGUCCCAUAGAAUGAAUGGAGUGCCAGUGCGCAUGCUCAACCAGCCUUUCAUUUUGGGGGUAUGGGCCCCCUUUCUUGUGAGAGGUGGUUGUCCCAAUGAUGAGACCCACAGUGAUCAUACAUGUAUCACCUUUCUUGUGGAAACAUAAUUAAUGUUUUUCAUAGGGCAGCUGCUCCGUCAUCAAUUUUUCCUGCACAUUGAUGCUCCCUGCAGAACUACAACAUUGCCUCAUUCACUUGGUCAUACUGUUAUGGCAUAGUGAUCUUCGUGUUAUACCAUAAUAUUAUUAGAUGGAAAUACCCCUAUGACAACUAUCCAGGAAAUUCAACCCAACUGUCCAUUAAACCCCUUUAGGCCGAAAAUAUCAGCAGGGAUCAUUCAUAAGAGCUUUUCAGAGCUCCAUAUUCAAUUUCAAAUUUGGAACUUGAUUACAGACUGAACUGUAAUCUAAGAUGCCUUGUGUAUACUCACACAUAGAAAAAGUCCAUUCAGAUGAAACUCAUUUUCUGCAACACUCUGGCACAUGUGAAUAUAACUACAGAAUAAAACAUUAAGAAGGGUUUUUGUAUUUCUUUUAGUUGAGAUCCAGUCGAAUUUUGGGUAAAAAAAAUAAUAGAAUAGAUAUAAAACAUGGGUCUCACAAACACUAAUGAGAAAGCCCAAAGGUGGAAUAUUGCUUAAACAUUAAACAGCCCCUGCCAGCAGGAUCAUCCCUAUUAAACUAGGAGUACUGCCUGGUGGAGUAGAUCCUGCUGAUUAAAAUGAUAGCUGUCUUGCGUAAAUCCUGAGAAAUAAGACUUUGCAUAAAGGAUAAAAAAAAAAUGUUUUGGGAAUGACUCAACCAAUUUUCAAAAGACAUGUAUCAAUUCAGUUAACAGGAUCAACCCUACCAGGCAAUAUUCCUGGUUUAAUAGGGUUGAUCCAGCAGACCGGAGCUCUCUAAGGUGCACAUAAAUAUUUAGAUUGCUGUCAGCCAAACUGGAUUUCCCUAUUCUUCCUGCCAUACACAUGCACUCUUGGCUCGUCGCUUGUAUGUGUUUUCAAUGCGUAGAGGGGUAUAAGUUGCUACUGGACUCAUUGGGCAGCGGCUUAUCUCCUGUGAAUGGAAUAGUCAUGUUGAAAUAAGUCAUGCUCAAUCAUUAUUUCUAGCAGUGGAGAAUUGGGACACCUCCAUACACAUUGGACAGCUGGUCAGGAGUCAGCCGACUGUCCUCCUUAUGUUGAGUCUUUCUGAGGCAUUUACUAAUCCAGGCUAAAACGUGCACAAUAAAUGUUCCUGUGUGCAGCGGCUGUGGGCUGGGUUCAUUCAAAGAAAUUAUCACAUCCUACCAAAAAAUGCCUUGUGUGUAAAUGAAUUUCAUUAUCCUAACCUUACUUUUAUGUCUCUAGUAAAAUACACAACACUGUACAACUAUUUUUUUAUUUUAUUAUUAUUGACCUUGUGCAGUUUUUAAACACGAUUUGAGCCAAUUAACUUAAUGUCGAAGUUUGGACUUUUGCUAACGAGCGUUCUCAUGAACCAUCGUUAGCGAUCACUCUGCAGCCUAAUACUGCUGCCGACUGCCCGAUGAACGAGCAAACACUCAUUCAUCGGACAGUUCUGAUUUUUUAAGCAUGCAUAAAAAUCAGUGCUUGUUGGCAGCAGAUCCUUUUGUCUAAUAGCGAUCUGUGGCCAGCAAACCACUAGACAGAAUGGGGAUGAGCAAUCGCUCCUCUCCAUGCUGUGGGGGAGAUUGCUGCAUGUAAUAGCUGUGGUCUCCUCCGCUAGCUAGCAAGCUAUUGCUGGAAGAAACUCUUCCCUCCCGACUAUCGCUUGCUGAUCUGCCUGCCUAAUACAGGCUUUGGGGUAUGACCACACGGUCUGGUCGUGGUUGUGAUGUGACUGCACUGCGGUCAAGUACUGCAGUGGGCUAUAACUAAGCUAAUGAAGACCGCACUCAGUCUGCAUUGUUAAUAGCAGUGUGGUAUUGAAGUUGCAGCAUGGCCAUUAACAAUUCAGACUAAACAGUGCGAUCUUCAUUAGUCUAAAGGGAGUCUGUCACCAACUUCAGUCAAGUCAAACUGUUAAUACCACAUUGCAGGUCACACACAGAUAACACAUGGUACCUUUUUUGCCACUUCUGUUCCAAAAACAAAAUUGAAACUAUAUGCAAAUGGGGUUUGCCAAAUUCCCAGGCCCCAAGCAGUUACUCGGUGAAACCUCUCCUCUAUCGCAGAUACCCAUUGUGGGCAGUGGCACCGUUCAACCUAAUGUGCAUGCGCCGCUUACUGGAAAUGUGCUGGCUGCUUGUACAAAAGAGAGGCCAGUAAGCGGCGCACACACAUUAGGUUGAACAAUGCCGCUGCCCACAGUGGGUAUCGUGUGGAGCAUGCAUGGGCUGGUGCUGGUGUUCACAGGCACACACUGAAGAUAGGUACUGGGCAGGAUAACUGAGACAGAGGGGAGGAGUUUUUUCCGAGUAACACCGGGGGCCAGGGCAACUGGAGCAGAAAACACCACCCCUGGGCAGAAAAAAGUUCCAGAACACAGAAGGGGUGGCACUGCUUUCUUU